Molecule: long non-coding RNA, 1073 nt
Organism: Clupea harengus (Atlantic herring)
Lineage: Eukaryota; Metazoa; Chordata; Actinopteri; Clupeiformes; Clupeidae
Source: Ensembl
UACACAGUGUUGGCAUUUCUAGAUUUAGACUUAGACUAUGUUAUGUGAGUCCAUACCCACACACCAACAUGAAAAUCACAUAUAAGGGGUGUAUUGGCAUCUGUUUCACUUAAACCACUGCUUACUACUAACUAACAAUAUUCUCUAAUAACUCUAAUUCUAACAGAGUAUAUUGAAAGUUAACUUCUUUCAUGUGCUCAGUGGUACCCAUCCCUUGUGUGAGUUGUCACUGAGAGACCUCAGGAGCUGGGCUUAUCCCCAUAUCCAUUCUCAGACAUCUGUAUCGUCCGAAUGGAGCGGAGAAUAACGGUAACUGGGCUCCUCUACUAGCUUGACAUGCCAGAAACCACUUUUGACGUCACACACCAUAACCAUUUUGGCUUUGGACAGGUAUGAGAGUAUGUCUUUAAUGGUCGGUAGUGGGAAGUGACUGGGCUUUAACGCCUUGUUCAUAGGCCUCUCGGAUCAUUGCAUAAUCUUGGUAUCCCAUUCUGCUUUUAUUCAAUGACCAUCCCGUUGAUCCAGUCCGUGCUGCAUUCGACUGGGGUGGUGAUUCUUCUGCGUUGCAGGUCCUGCAGUUCAACCUUCAAUGGUGUCAUCAUGGCGACUGGGACACGUCUCUUUGGCAGCUGCACAGUCUCCACCGUGUUGUCUUCCUCAAUUUGAUAUUCUCCCUCAAGGCAGUCAUCACCAGUGAACACAUCAGCAUGAUAUGCUUUUAUCUGCCCCAUUGUCCACUGUCCUAUUGUGGGCUUCACAGAGGUAGCAAUGCUGUCUGUCGCCGGAAUGUUCUCAUAGUACACUUUUAUCAGUUUCAUGGCCUCACUGGCUCUUUUGCCAAGCAGUGGCACAGUAGUCUUUGUCUGGUCCAAUGGGUUUCUGAAUUCUUGGGUUCUUUAAUGUUAGUUAAAAUGUCCCCAGUGGCCUCAGUUUGCUUUGGUUGUACAGUACUAGAACACUUUUUGUGUCUUCAAAUUUUGUGUUUGGAUUAAGCAGAUCGAUCGGGAUGAUAUUGCAAGUGGAAACACAGUCAAUUUGGAAUUUCACAACAUCUUUGCCCAGAGGCAUGCCAG